UUCUAGAUUUGUGGAUCCGUGCACCUGCCAGACCUGUCUCUGAGCCAUCUGGGGAGGCUGGGUCGGCACAGACGCAACCCAGUCUCCUCCCACCUCCGAGAGUGCAGUGUCCUGAAUGGAGAACCCCAGCACCCAGAAGCAUCCACUGAAGGACUAAAUUCUACACAUGAAGGCAAACGUCCGUGGUUGACAGAAAUUACACUGGCCAGAAUCCCCAGUCCCCAUGAGGCUUGUCCAGACGCAGUGAACCAGUCGCAGCUGAUAACACACAGACCAUUCCCGAUCCCAGAGGUGCAUUUCAGGAUUCAUUCUAUUUCAUCAGAGACGGGGUCUUCCUGUGUUGCCCAGGCUGGUCUCGAACUCCUGGGCUGAAGCAAUCUUCCUGCCUUGGCCUCCCAGAGGGUUGGAAUUGCAGAUGUGAGGUACUUCUUUGAUAGUGCCUCCAUGCAUGCAGAAGAUGACGUGGAGAGCUCCGCGCGGCACAGGGCAGGAAGCUGGUGUGCACUCUCAUGGAUCCGAAGCCAACACACGCCUCUCAACUGAGGACUCUGCCCCUCUGGCAUUCUUCCAGCCACCAGCCCUGGGGGCCAGGAGCCACUGAGUGGGUCACACAGCCUUAGAGGGCAACGAGGGCAGGAGCUCGCCCUGGCGGUCCCCAUGCAGACAAGAGGGUCACUGGCUUCCUUGCUUUGCUCUUCCUGGACAUCUUCCUCGACAUUCAUCUUUCCAUCCUACCAAGAGCGUGGAAACCACAGGGCAUGAGGACAGGCGGAGACAACGCUGGACCAUCUCACAGCCACAUCAAGAGGCUGCCCACAUCAGGGCUUUCUACGUGGUUGCAAGGAACACAAACCUGUGUGCUCCAUUUGCCCACUGGCACUAGGCCUCCUGCCCACCACCCGCUUCUAGGCUAUUCGAGCCGCAGGAGCUACAGGCUGCUAGAGAACCCUGCGGCAGGAUGCUGGGCGCGGUUCAGCUUUUGCCAGGGAGCAGCAUGGGACUGGGAUUUGGAAGGUGUACAGUGGCUGCGGGCUUUAGCAGGAGGAGUGUCUACAGCACCUUCUGCUCCUCCAGGUAACCUAGUGUUUUUAUCAGUAUCCAUUUUCCUGUGUGGAUCUCUUCUGCUUGAAACCUGUCCUGCCUAUUUUUCUUCCCUGGACCCUGACUGAUACACUCUUAAAACGAGAAAAGGGUACCGAUUUAUAAAGUUCGUGAAUUAAAAACUACACCAGUCAUGGAAACUCAAUGACAUCACUCAAAGAAAAUUCACAACUCUAGCCUUGAGUUAGCUCCCUCAAUAGUAUGAUGAGGUCAUGCAGAUAGAAUCAUACAGUUAUUAACAAAAGUAGUUGAUGUUAACCGAGUAAUCAGUUUUAUCUGUGUUCCUUUGAGACAGAGAGAGAGAGUGAGAAAGAGAGCGUGAGCAAGUGAGUGCACAUACUAUUGUUAAAGUCUUCUCUCUAAAGUUUUAAUAUCUGAUAUACCAUAAACACCCAGAUAAAGAACUUUAGAGAAACUGGUUAAAAAGAUUUAAAAUUCCCAACUGUAAUAAAUCCCUAAAAUGAAUACCAAAAAAAUGUUUUUAAAUUAAAAAAAGAGAGAGAAAGAGAAAAUGAAGGCAAACAUCUUACUUUGUAGGAAAGCAAACGCCUGUCAUCUUUAUCUAGCACGAAGCCAUCAUUCAGAUCAUCUGCUGACAUAUGUUUUGGUUUCUUAACAUUUUCAUCCUCAUCCUUUCCAAGCAUUCUUCGAAGUCUCUCAGCCUGAGCAGGAAGGAAUGAGAUGUCUUAGAGCACACUCUUCCAACAUAUGGUGAGGGGGCCGUGCAGUCCUGCCCUGGGCAGCGGGCUGGGCCUACGGUCCUCCCAGCUCUGAGGCUGGUGCAUCCAGCCUGCUUUCUGCCUGCAGUUUUCAAUCAGGCAUGCAAACACUAGCUAAGCAGCACAUUCCUCAUUUAACAAAAUCAACUGUUCAAACUUUGUGGCCAAUACUCUCCAGUCACCAGGCAAGCCUAUUAUUCUGAGGCCUUCACAGCCCAAUUCUGCUGGCCAGCCCCGACUGGGACUCAUCACCCCCUGCACCGAGAGAAUAGGAGCCAGGACGCCAAGAGCAAGCAGCUCCACGGCCUCCACUAUUUGACCACACACUGGACACGGGAAGAAGCUAGUGAUGUGGUUAUGUCAAAACAGCCAGCUGAGCCA
This is a long non-coding RNA of Homo sapiens (human), 2201 nucleotides long. Ensembl annotates it as NOP14 antisense RNA 1. Its record names the gene NOP14-AS1. The record is from Ensembl. Lineage: Eukaryota; Metazoa; Chordata; Mammalia; Primates; Hominidae.